Molecule: ribosomal RNA, 292 nt
Filed under: uncultured Bacteroidota bacterium
Lineage: Bacteria; Pseudomonadati; Bacteroidota
Description: uncultured Bacteroidetes bacterium partial 16S ribosomal RNA
Source: RNAcentral
GGACUACUGGGGUAUCUAAUCCUGUUUGAUCCCCACGCUUUCGUGCCUCAGUGUCAAUAAUUCCGUAGCGAGCUGCCUUCGCAAUGGGUGUUCUAUGUCAUAUCUAAGCAUUUCACCGCUACAUGACAUAUUCCGCUCACCUCCAGAAUAUUCAAGACAGAUAGUAUCAAUGGCAGUUUCCGAGUUAAGCCCGGAGAUUUCACCACUGACUUACCUGCCCACCUACGCACCCUUUAAACCCAGUAAAUCCGGAUAACGCUUGCACCCUCCGUAUUACCGCGGCUGCUGGCAC